GCGAUGAGCCGCCUGCCUCAUUGUAAUUUCUCAUUGGGCGAAAAUGAUGUGACUGUUCAUCAGGGCGCCUCCAAACAUUGAGCCUUAUCCCUUUCGCUUCUCCGUAGUGUUGUCUUGCCUCGGCUUGCAUUCUCUGCUGCCGACGCUUUUGAGUUUUUGUUAACAUCGGCCCCUGCCACCUAGCCGAUGGUUUAACCUCAACUUCGUGCCAUUCAUCCACUGGCACGUUCGCCGGGACCUUUAGUGUCCUCAGAUGAUUUUUCAAAAUUUCUCUUCUCUCCCAAGGUCUCGGCCAAGGCUGAAUGCCUAGCUCG
RNAcentral lists this long non-coding RNA (314 nucleotides) under Ananas comosus (pineapple). RNAcentral describes it as "long non-coding RNA (ACOM_LNC010094)". The record is from RNAcentral. Lineage: Eukaryota; Viridiplantae; Streptophyta; Magnoliopsida; Poales; Bromeliaceae.